Molecule: unclassified non-coding RNA, 372 nt
Filed under: soil metagenome
Description: partial contains 5.8S ribosomal RNA, internal transcribed spacer 2, and large subunit ribosomal RNA
Rfam family: 5.8S ribosomal RNA (bases 1-120)
Source: RNAcentral
GAUGAAGAACGCAGCGAAAUGCGAUAAGUAGUGUGAAUUGCAGAAUUCAGUGAAUCAUCGAAUCUUUGAACGCACAUUGCGCCCCUUGGUAUCCCGAGGGGCAUGCCUGUUCGAGCGUCAUUAUCACCCCUCAAGCCCUCGGCUUGGUGUUGGACGGUUUGGUGGAGGCCCCCUCGGGGGCUCCUGCCCCUCCCAAAGACAAUGACGGCGGCCUCGUUGGACCCCCGGUACACUGAGUUCUUCACGGGACACGUAUCGGACACAUGGGUUUACGGGACACGGUCUGCCUCCCCUCAGGGAGAAUCUUUCUAAGGUUGACCUCGGAUCAGGUAGGGAUACCCGCUGAACUUAAGCAUAUCAAUAAGCGGAGGA